This is a small nuclear RNA of Cynocephalus volans (Philippine flying lemur), 191 nucleotides long. RefSeq annotates it as U2 spliceosomal RNA. The transcript has a single exon. Lineage: Eukaryota; Metazoa; Chordata; Mammalia; Dermoptera; Cynocephalidae. The record is from RefSeq and is a predicted model, not a curated record.
AUCGCUUCUUGGCCUUUUGGCUAAGAUCAAGUGUAGUAUCUGUUCUUAUCAGUUUAAUAUCUGAUACAUCCUCUAUCUGAGGACAAUAUAUUAAAUGGGUUUGGGGAGGAGCGAGAAGGAACAGGAGCUUGUUGCAUCCACUCCACACAUCGACCUGGCAUCAUAGUACUUCCAGGAACGGUGCACCUCUU